Molecule: ribosomal RNA, 489 nt
Filed under: uncultured bacterium
Lineage: Bacteria
Description: bacterial SSU rRNA
Rfam family: Bacterial small subunit ribosomal RNA
Source: RNAcentral
GACGAACGCUGGCGGCGUGCUUAACACAUGCAAGUCGAACGGGGUGCUCGUUGGUGGCAACACCUUCGAGUACCUAGUGGCGAACGGGUGAGGAACACGUGAGCAACCCACCCCGGACUCUGGGAUAACAGCGGGAAACCGCUGCUAAUACCGGAUACCUUCCUUCCAUCGCAUGGUGGAACGAAGAAAGGGUUACUGGUUCGGGACGGGCUCGCGGCCUAUAAGCUGGUUGAUGGGGGAAUGGCCUACCAAGGCUUGGACGGGUAGCUGGUCUGAGAGGAUGAUCAGCCACACUGGGACUGAGACACGGCCCAGACUCCUACGGGAGGCAGCAGUGGGGAAUCUUGCGCAAUGGGCGAAAGCCUGACGCAGCAACGCCGCGUGCGGGAUGACGGCCCUCGGGUUGUAAACCGCUUUCAGCAGGAACGAAUCUGACGGUACCUGCAGAAGAAGGUCCGGCCAACGACGGGCCAGCCGCCGCCGUAAAAC